Molecule: non-coding RNA, 71 nt
Organism: Picea glauca (white spruce)
Lineage: Eukaryota; Viridiplantae; Streptophyta; Pinopsida; Pinales; Pinaceae
Source: Rfam
GCACCAGUGGUCUAGUGGUAGAAUAGUACUCUGCCAUGGUACAUACCCGGGUUCAAUUCCUGGCUGGUGCA